UACACUACUUAAAGGAAGAGAACAGGGAGUGGAAAGCGGGAAAUCUGUGUGUCAGAGAGAAGAAGAAGAAACACUGUAACACAAGUUUCACUCAGAAGUUUAUAUUAGGCCUAGAAGCUGAUGGAAACGGUGAAAUUUUGGUAUUGACUACAUCAGAUCUGAGGAACAACGUUAGCUCGGGAAAAAUAUACAGACUACAAGCGAAUACUAUAAGAGUUGAUGAUGAAGACAACCGAGGAAACUCUGUUUCUACUCCACUGCUGUUUGUCUGUUGUCUACUGGUUCGUUGGUUUUUGUCCGAGCUGUGGAUCAAAGAACUUUCACUCUGAGAAAACAAUUUUAUAUUUAACGAGUACAUUCUCUGGGUAGCUGCUCAAGUCUGCAAUUAUCAUUAUUUUUUAAAUAGUAAUUAAAAUUUAUGAGAUUUCAAAGGUUAAGUUUGUAUGAUGUAAUUGUGUAUGUUCUCCUGUACUGCUAAUUGAUUAAAAUAAUAUUGGUUUUAGUGUUUAUUUAAGUUAAUAUCCACCCUUACUGUAUAAUGUAAAUCAUAAAAUACAAAUAAAAUUAAUGUGCUGACAUAAACCACUUAAGUUGUUUAAAAUUAUUUUUACU
This is a long non-coding RNA of Limulus polyphemus (Atlantic horseshoe crab), 612 nucleotides long. RefSeq lists it as uncharacterized. The transcript is spliced from 3 exons. The record is from RefSeq and is a predicted model, not a curated record. Lineage: Eukaryota; Metazoa; Arthropoda; Merostomata; Xiphosura; Limulidae.